RNAcentral lists this ribosomal RNA (464 nucleotides) under uncultured bacterium. Its description in RNAcentral is "partial 16S ribosomal RNA". It matches the Rfam family "Bacterial small subunit ribosomal RNA", at positions 28 to 506 of the family's 1533-position model. The record is from RNAcentral.
GACGAACGCUGGCGGCGUGCUUAACACAUGCAAGUCGAACGGAAAGGCCCUGCUUGCAGGGUACUCGAGUGGCGAACGGGUGAGUAACACGUGGGUGAUCUGCCCUGCACUUCGGGAUAAGCCUGGGAAACUGGGUCUAAUACCGGAUAGGAGCCAUUUUUAGUGUGAUGGUUGGAAAGUUUUUUCGGUGUAGGAUGAGCUCGCGGCCUAUCAGCUUGUUGGUGGGGUAAUGGCCUACCAAGGCGGCGACGGGUAGCCGGCCUGAGAGGUUGGACGGCCACUUGGGGCUUGGGUGCGGCCCAAGCUUCUACGGGGGGGAGGCAUUGGGAAAAAUGCACAAAGGGGGCAAACCAGGUGGAAGGACGGCGCGUGGGGGGUUACCGCCGUUCGGUUGUAAAACUCCUUCGGUUGGGGCGGAGGUUCUUGGGGACGGACCUAGGUUAAAAGGCACCGGCUAAUACCUU